GCAAUUCAUCCAGAGGCGCUGGAGGGUUCUCGGGCCCAGAGGGCCUGCCAAAAAGGCAGUCAGACAGUUGGUUUAUGAGUCAUUCUGUCUCUGUCUCUCCUCUCUUUUUUUUUUUUGAGACGGAGUUUCGCUCUUGUUGCCCAGGCUGGAGUGCAGUGGCGCAAUCUCGGCUCACCGUAACCUCCGCCUCCCAGGUUCAAGCGAUUCUCCUGCCUCAGCCUCCCUAGUAGCUGGGAUUACAGGCAUGUGCCACCACGUCCGGCUAAUUUUGUAUUUUUCGUAGAGACGGGGUUUCUCCAUGUUGGUCAGGCUGGUCUCGAACUCCUGACCUCAGGUGGUCCGCCCUCCUCGGCCUCCCAAAGUGUUGGGAUUAUAGGCGGGAGCCACUGCGCCCGGCCCAUUCUGCCUCUCUUACUGCCAAGUAUCCUAGAGCCAUCUUCCGGCUGCAGGGAAUGUGAACUGAAGAGAAAGGUGUCCUCUCUUCUCAUAAAGAGACCCAAAGACGAAUGCCCCGCAGAGACAAGGCCUGGAGUUACCCAUGCUGGAGUGCAGUGGUGUGACUGUAGCUCCCUGCAGCCUCGAACUCCUUGGCCUCAAUUGAUCCUGCCACCUUACCUUCUGAGUAACUGGGACUACAGUGUGUGUCACCACACCUUUUUUUUUUUUGACAUGAGGGAUAUAUGCUGGUAAUAAAAAUAAAAUUUUGGGGUAUGGCAAUAGGCAUGCUACUCAAAAUGCUGCCAAGUUACAAAGUGUAACUAUGAUUUGUAAUGGAUAGCAGCAGUGACAAGUGAUGAGAAUGGUCUCUUGUCAUGACUACUCUGUUAUAGUGUAAAAGCAGCCAUAGACAGUAGAUAAAUGAAUAAGUAUGGCUGUAUUCCAAUAAAGUUUUACUCAUGGACACUGAAAUAUGAAUUUCAUAUAAUUUUGUGUCACAAAAUAUUAAAUUUUUUUUCUAGCCAUUAAAAAUGUACAAAGCAUAAUUAGCUGUGGACUGUACAAAAGCAGGAAGCAGGUUGGACAUGGCUUUUGGGCCAUAGUUGGCCAACCCCUGCUAGAGAACAUCUAUACAUAGCAGCCUUUUGAGUAGUUUUGUUCAUCUGAGGUCAUGAAAAGGAAUUAGUAUUGGCAGGGUGCGGUGGCUCACGCCUGUAAUCCCAGCACUUUGGGAGGCAAAGGCGGGCAGAUCACCUGAGGUCAGGAGUUUGAGACCAGCCUGACCAACAUGGUGAAACCCCGUCUCUACAAAAAAUUAGCCGGGUGUGGUGGCGCAUGUCUGUAAUCCCAGCUACUGGGGAGGCUGAGGCAGGAGAAUAGCUUGAACCCAGGAGGUGGAGGUUGCAGUGAGCCGAGAUUGUGCAUUGCACUCCAGCCUGAGCAACAGGAGCGAAACUCUGUCUCAAAAAAACAAAAAACAAAAAAACAAAAAAACAAGGUGGCACAGCUGGCUUGAGCAACUGAACUGGAAACAAGAUGCAGGACCCCAACGCAGACACUGAGUGGAAUGACAUCUUAACGCAAAAAGGGUAUCUUACCCCCCAAGGAAAGUCUGAAAGAAUUGGAAGAGGAGGCAGAAGAGGAGCAGCGCAUCCUCCAGCAGUCAGUGGUGAAAACAUAUGAAGAUAUGACUUUGGAAGAGCUGGAGGAUCAUGAAGACGAGUUUAAUGAGGAGGAUGAAUGUGCUAUUGAAAUGUGCAGACAGCAGAGACUGGCUGAGUGGAAAGCAACUAAACUGAAGAAUAAAUUUUGAGAAGUUUUGGAGAUCUCAGGGAAGGAUUAUGUUCAAGAAGUUACCAAAGCUGGUGAGGGCUUGUGGGUCAUCUUGCACCUUUACAAACAAGGAAUUCCCCUCUGUGCCCUGAUAAAUCAGAACCUCAGUGGACUUGCCAGGAAGUUUCCUGAUGUCAAAUUUAUCAAAGCCAUUUCAACAACCUGCAUACCCAAUUAUCCUGAUAGGAAUCUGCCCCGAUAUUUGUUUACCUGGAAGGAGAUAUCAAGGCUCAGUUUAUUGGUCCUCUGGUGUUUGGUGGCAUGAACCUGACAAGAGAUGAGUUGGAAUGGAAACUGUCUGAAUCUGGAGCAAUUAUGAUGGACCUGGAGGAAAACCCUAAGAAGCCGAUUGAAGAUGUAUUGCUGUCAUCAGUGUGGCACUCUGUCCUCAUGAGGAGGGACAGCGAUUCUGAGGGUGACUGAGGCUACAGCUGCUAUCACAUGCCGAACUUUCUUGUGACAAAUGUCUGGAUUUUUUAAAAAAGGAAAAAGCAAGAAUGAAUCCUUCUGGUUUUUAGUUUUGUAUAAAUUAUGUUUCAAAUCUUUACAUUUUGGAAAUAAUCAUUGCUGGAAAUUCUGUUAAAUAUUUUGGAACUUUUUUUUAAAUUAUAGUAUUUCCUCUAAAAAAAUUAAAACCAGCCAUUAGUAAAAAAAAAAAAGAAAAGGAAUUAGUAUUUUAAAAGAGAUUAUUCAUAUUCCUUCUGUGCUGUAGGUUUUGUAUUGUAGUUAAAUACAAAACUCAGUGAUUUCAAAGUUUUAAAAGUCCAAUUUCUAAAGAUAAAAACACAUUUGCAUUUCUCAGCAUACUCAGCAUACCAAUAUACAUUACAUAUUUCUGUGUUUGAUAUUAUCUUCUCUUCACUGGAAAGGUAAAAUUUUUUUUGUUUUGUUUUGAUACGGAGUCUUGCUCUGUUGCCCAGGCUAGAGUGCAGUUGCGCGAUCUCGACUCACUGCAACCUCCGCCUCCCAGGUUCAAGUGAUUCUCCUGCCUCAGCCUCCUGAGUAGUGGGAUUACAGGCAUGUGCCACCACAUCCGGCUGAUUUUUAUAUUUUUUAGUAGAGACAGGGUUUCAGCACGUUGGCCAGGCUUGUCUUGAACUCCUGACCUCAGGUGAUCCACCCACCUUGGCCUCCCAAAGUGCUGGGAUUACAGGCAUGAGCCACUGCGCCCAGCCAGAAUUGGCUAACAUUAUUAUGGAGGUUGGCAAAUUCAAAAACUUCAGGGCGGACCAGCAGGCUAGAUAGAGACCCAGACAAGAGCCAAUGCUGUGAUUCAAAUCUGAAAGCCUGUCUGUUGCAGAAUUCCUUUUGGCUCAAGAGAGGUCAGUCUUCUACUCAGUUCAACUGAUUGGUUGAGGCACACCCACAUUAUCGCAAGACCACCUUCACAGAGACAUUCAGAAUAACAUUUGACCUCAUAUAUGGGCACCGUGGCCCUGCCACGUUCACCCAUAAAUUUACAAUCAUACCUCCUCAUUAAAAAAACAAAGGGCUGGGCUAGUGGUGGCUCACACCUGUAAUCCCAGUACUUUGGGAGGCCAAGGUGGGUGGAUCACCUAAGAUUGGGAGUUCGAAACCAGCCUGACCAACAUGGAGAAACCACAUCUCUACUAAAAGUACAAAAUUAGCCAGGCGUGGUGGUGCAUGCCUGUAAUCCCAGCUACUCGGGAGGCUGGGGCAGGAUAAUCGCUUGAACCCAGGAGGCAGAGGUUGCGGUGAGCGAGAUCACACCGUUACACUCCAGCCUGGCAACAGGGCAACAAGAGCAAAACUCCGUCUCAAAAAAAAAAAAAAAGAAAAAGAAAAAAAAUCGCCCAAGCGUGAUAGCUCACACCUAUAAUCCCAGCACUUUAGGAAACUGAGGCAGGAGGAUUGCUUGAGGCCAGGAGUUCAAGACCAGCCUGGGCAACAUAGUGAGACCCUGUUUCUAUAAAAAUAAUAAAAAAUGAAAACAAUUUUAAUUAAAAAAAGGAGUCAAGUCAAAGGUGGGAGGAAAGAGCAAAACUACCACUCUUAAAAUGUUCCGAAGCUUCUAAGCGCUAGAAAUCUUCCAGGUAGAAAUUAAAGUUAGAAUUUAAAAAAUAUAUUGUUCUGUAAAAAAUAAAGAACUUAUUCACUUAAUUUUCUUUUUUGGUUUUCUUUUCUGUUUUUUUGAGACGGAGAUUCGUUCUGUCGCCCAGGCUGGAGUGCAAUGGCGAAAUCUCGGCUCACUCCCCUCCCACACCCUGUGCCGGGUUCAAGCGAUUCUCCUGUCUCAGCCUCCCAAAUAGCUGUGAUUUUAUUUUAUUUUAUUGAGGGAGGGUCUUGCUCUGUUGCCCAGGCUGGAGUGCAGUGGCCCGAUCUCAGCUCACUGCAGCCUCAACUUCUGGGCUUAAGCAAUCCUCCCACCUGCCUCAUGAGUGGCUGGGGCUACAGGCACACACCACCAUGCCCAGCUAGUUUUUGUAUUUUUACUACAGAUGGAGUUUUGCCAUGUUGCCCGGGCUUGCAUUCUUAUUUUUAAGUAAGUCUUUGAAAUCCAGUGUGUAUUUUACACUUAUAGCACAUCUCAUUUAGGACUAGCCACAUUUCCAAUGCUCAGUAGCCAAAAGUGGAUAUUAGCUACCAUAUUAGACAAUGCAUCUCUAAGGGGUGAGAUUAUCGAAACUUUCACUUUGUAUUUUACAUAUUAUUUUGUUUUCCUGAAUGUUAAAAAAACCAUAUAUUGCUCAUACAGUCAGAAACCAUAAUAAAAUAAAAAGUCAAUUGCUCUGAAGUCAGAAAGAAUUAUGCUUUUGAGUAGGUGUUAUACAAUAGUAAAAACCAAACAGUAGAAAAGGUUAUAUACUGACAGUUUUAUGUGUGUUCUCUGUGCACUUGUCUAGAAGAUGGGCCACAAUUUUUGUAGAUUAUGGUCUUUCAGAAGUGGUCAGUAAACCAAAAAGAAAUUUAAAACCAAAGUCAAAGAAUUUCAACAACAAAAUUCCACAGAAUUUAGACAGAGGGUUAAUUACUUUGCCAUGUUAUAAUGAGGUUCUAUCCAGGCUUCUUGUCAGGAAUUAGUGCUAGACAAAUAGGAAGCUCUUUGAGGGAGAGAAAAACAACACAGGUUGGGGGACCAGUGAAUAAUUGCUUCCACUACCCCUCUAGAGGUAAACUACCAACCUAUCAUCCCUGAAACCAAUGAGAUUUCAGGAGGAUGGACAACAUUUUUUAAAUUUUGAGACAGGAUCUCACUCCGUCACCAAGGCUGAACUGCAAUGGCAUGAUCACAGCUCAUUGCAGCCUCAAACUCUGGCCUGAGCAAUCCUCCCACCACAGCCUCCCCAGUAGCUGGGCCCACAGGCUUGUGCCACCAUACUCGGCUAAUUCAUUUUAAUUUUUGCAGAGACAGGAUCUCUCUAUAUUGCCCAGGCUGGUCUUGAAUUCCUGGGCUUAAGCGAUCCCCUGCCUCGGCCUCCCAAAGUGCUAGAAUUAUAGGCAUGGGCCACCGCAUCCUGCCUAGUCAGAACAUGCUUAAAGCAGGAAUCUUAAAUAGAAUGCAAUGUCAGCUGGGCACGGUGGCUCACGCCUGUAAUGCUAGCACCUUGGGAGGCCGAGGCGAGCAGAUCACUUGAGGCUAGGAAUUGGAGACCAGCCUGGCCAACAUGGUGAAGCCCCAUUUCUACUGAAAAUACAAAAAAAAAAAAAAAUGGCUGGGAGUGGUGGCUCACACCUGUAGUCCCAGCUACUUUGGAGGCUGAAAGGAGGAUCGCUUGAGCCUGGGAAGCGGAGGUUGCAGUGAGCCGAGAUUGCGCCACUGCACUCCAGCCUGGGCGACAGAGGGAGACUGUCUCAAAAAAAAAAAAAAGAAAAAAGAAUGCAAUGUCAGGGCUAGAAAAAAUGAAGAAUUAACCAACUCAAGAUGAGAUUCUAAAAUAUUCAUUUUAUUUUCCCCCCUGUGUAUCAGCUAAAUAUGAGGAAAAAAAGAGGUGGAAGUAUAAAUUAAUUUCAAGAAUAUUUUUCAGGUUAUUUAGGUAAACUAAAUAAAUAAUAAAGUAAAUAAACCAGAAGAAGUUGUGUUUUGUUUAAAAGAGUAGUAAAGAAAUCCUUGACGUUUCUAUUUCAUCUCUUUUGAAGUUUUUCUGAAAGGCAGUAGAACUUUUAUAAAAAUGAUUCAUUAUAUUCUCAAUUGAAAAUUUAGGGGCUGGGGGCAGUGACUCAUGCCUGUUAUCCCAGCACUUUGGGAGGCUAAGGCGGGCGGAUAACUUGAGGUCAGGAGUUAGAGACCAGCCUGGCCAACAUGUUGAAACCCCAUCUCUACUAAAAAUACAAAAAUUAGCUGGGUGUGGUGGCGCACAGCCUGUAAUCCCAGCUACUCGGGAGGCUGAGGCAAGAGAAUGGCUUGAACCUGGGGGGUGGGGACAGAGGCUGCAGUGAGCCGAGAUUGCGCCAUUGUACUCUAGCCUGGACAACAAGAGUGAAACUCCAUCACAAAAAAAAAAAAAAAAAAAAAUUAAAAGAAUGCAAAAUAUCUCAUUAUUUUUUAUGUUGUUUAUAUGUUGAAAUGCUAAUAUGAAUAAAUAAAAUAUAUUUUGUCUUUUUAAAAUAUGGCUAUUAGCUAACUUAAAAUUUCAUAUGAGGUACACCUAUUUCUCUUGGACAGUGCCACCUUAGCAACAAUUUAAAAAUCAGUAAGUACCUUUUGCCGGGCGCGGUGGCUCAUGCCUGUAAUCCCAGCACUUUGGGAGGCCGAGGCGGGAGGAUCACCUGAGGUUGGGAGUUCAAGACCAGCCUGACCAACGUGGUGAAAGCCCAUCUCUACUGAAAAUACAAAAUUAGUCGGGCGUAUUGUCGUAUGCCUGUAAUCCCAGCUACUCGCGAGGCGGAGGCAGGAGAAUCGUUUGAACCUGGGAGGCAGAGGUUGUGGUGAGCCAAGAUCACGCCAUUGCACCCCAGCCUGGGCAACAAGACCAAAACUCUGUCUCAACGACAACAACAACAAAAAAUCAGUACCUUUUAUUGAGUAUUUACCACAUGUUAGGCACUAUUUGGAUUUCUAACAUGAUUUAAUUGAUUAGAUUAUCACAAUAGUGAUAUGGAUUGGGAAUUAUUAAUAUUACCAUUUUUCACAGGGCAGACCACAGAGUUUAAAUUACAAGUCAAGAUAAUGCUGCUGGCAAAUAACAAUAAUGGGAUUCUUCCAUGGUCUAGCUUUGGAGCCUGGUGCUCCUUCAGUAUGCUAAACAGGCUCUGUUGUCUGGGGUCUCCAUGGUUCAGACUUUGUUAAAUUUUUUCACACUUUACUGAUACAUAAUUUUUUUAAAAAACUGGAAUCAUAGUAUACUUAUGUAUUGCAAUUUGCUGGAAAAUUAAAAAAGACAAAAAACCUUACACCUUGGUUAUCUUCCCAUUAACCAGGUGUGCUAGUUGGUACCCAGCAAAACAACAUCACCAUUCCCAUUCUGACUCAAACAUAACUGUUCACAAGCAUUUCUUAUAUUGUGGUUUCUUUCCAUUGUCAUGGAUUUUGGGCUCUAGUUUCUCUGGGGCCUUUUGUUAGCCAUAGACACUGCAGUGAUAAUUUUUUGUCUGCUGCCAUUAUGAAAAACUGAUUUUAAAAAAUUAUUAUUAUUGUUAGAGAUAAAAAUAAUAAUACCUCUACUUCUAGUACCAUCCAGUUUUUCCUAAUCAUUUGCAGGACAAGAAUGAAGAUGAGAUUUAAUCUAUAAUUGGAGAAGCAGAAGUUGUAGCUUCAUGAUAUGUGAUUCAGGCCACAUAGCCAUAUUCCUCUCAAGGCUGAAAAUAUUUUAAAUUUCCAACAGCUUUAAGUUUAAAUUAUU
Molecule: long non-coding RNA, 7571 nt
Filed under: Homo sapiens (human)
Lineage: Eukaryota; Metazoa; Chordata; Mammalia; Primates; Hominidae
Description: non-protein coding lnc-CEP97-8:4
Source: RNAcentral